AUAAUAUUAAAUAUUGAGCAAUCUCAAUUUCUCAACUGUUGAAUUUGCCCAACAACUCCUCUGUUGUCUGACUCUAAAUAUACAUCUAGCUUCAACAAUCAAAAUCAACCAACUAUAUAUAUCUUGUUAGCUACUCAAACUUUUAGGUUAAACUGAUUUAAUUUGGUGUAGGUCGUUAGACACGUAUCCUGUAUGGUGAGCUUAACAACCGGGAUUAGAAACACCAACCGAUUAUGUUUGUUAAGAUUAUGAUUACGAAGAAGCCUUCCCUGGAAUCCAAACGUGUAAUUGAAAACCUGAAUUUACAAGUAAACAGAUAAACGAGUGAGUUUCAGAUCAGUAGAACAAGGAGAAAUUCGUGUUGAGGCAGCAGCUCCUCCUUCCUCAUAGUCAUUCAUGUGGAAGCAAUCAUAGCAAGAUAGCCACAACCUUCUUUUAACUCUCUCUUUGAAGCUAGUUAAUUUUUGUACUAUAAUCUGUAGACUCUGGUAGUCUGGUAUAUAUAUUGAAAUAGACAUAGACAUGUCUAUAAAUUCAUACAUCUUUAGUGCUCAGAUAAGAUUAAGCAGAUGCAAAUGUUAUCUCAAAUUAUUUUUUUUUCCCCUUAAGAAAAAUAGGUUCAUAUGUCAGUGUGGACAUAAAACUAUAAAGAUGAGACAUUGAACAA
Molecule: non-coding RNA, 667 nt
Organism: Arachis ipaensis
Lineage: Eukaryota; Viridiplantae; Streptophyta; Magnoliopsida; Fabales; Fabaceae
Source: RefSeq, a predicted model, not a curated record